AGUUAGGGGAGCUUUAACUCCAUCCCAAAGGGAGGCAGACGGCUCCGAGUGUUUGCUUGUGGCAGGGGUGUCGGGGGGGAGAUCCCGGGGGGCCUGACCUAGCAGUGGGGUCACGACAAGUUUCCUCCAGGAAGCCAUGUUUGGCCUGAGCGCUGAAGGAGGCAUAGGAAUUGUCUAGAUAGCAGCGGGGGCUGGAAAGAUACCAGGUACAGGGAACAGCACGUGUGAAUGCCUGAGGCAGGGGCCAGAAGGGGAGCCCAUGUGGUUGGACCGAAACCGUGGGAAAAGGCGCACACUGAGGACACAAGGCCUGGAUUUUACUUCCCCUCAACACGACGCAAACAUGUAUCUUGGCACCAACCUCAACGUGACUGGGGGCCACGGAGCCUUUCUGUUGUCUUUGCCCUGACAGGACUGAGAGGACACCUGGGAUGUUGCUCACGGAGGUUGCCAUGAGAAGGACGAGGGGUGCCUGGGGUUUGGGGAGUCGUAGAGACAAAUCAGCUAAGUCUUCGUCCUCCAAAGGCUCCUGGUUAAGUUCCAGUAUGUUGGCGGAGAGUAUGACCCAGUCAUCCAUUAGCACUUCAAAAUGGGCUAAUUGAUCAUAGUUCCAGCAAUAAAACAGAAUGGAAAAGGAUCAGAGAGCAAAUCUGGGCACGCGACGUCCACGACUGUGUGUGGAAGAUAGAAUUAGAAAAGAAACGGAGUGCAGCCCCCCACUCUGCCACGCACCAGCUCCAUAACAUAAGUCCGGCCCUCCCUGCCCCGGGUGUCCGCCCCCACAAAGAGGCUGCGAUGUUGCAAUGAGGCGGCAUAUACGGCCAAGGAUUGGUACGUGAACGUGACAGUGGACUCUGUGCCCGAAGUUCUAGAUACCAGUGUUUCUCCGCUUCUGCCCUCCUCCAUCGGCGCUUCUUCUCCUCUGGAUUUGAGGAUGUUAACUCGCUAGCACCUUUCAUCGUAACCUGUCCUCUAGAGGCGGGUGCUGCACGGCUCCCGACUUGGUAUCUGAACACUGGGUUUCCGAGGCGGGCUCCGGCGCCCCCUUUCUCUGCUAUCCCCCGAGUUGGUGAUGACCAUCUCCUUGCUUACUUUUGCUAAAUGGAUGUAAAGGCCCAUUUAGUUUGGCUUUCUCUCUACUUUCCCAGCUUAGGGGAGCUGCUUACCUCUAACUGGGCGCCCGCUUUGAACCAUUCGGAGAGGCCUUCAGUGAAAGUGGGACCCCCACAGCCCGUCCCCGAGACAACCACUGUUAGUCAUUUCUUGUAUAGACUAUGACCGCAGACACAUGUAUGUGUAUAUAUAACCACCGGGGCCAUAAUACCUACUCUUCUGAACCUUGC
Molecule: long non-coding RNA, 1343 nt
Organism: Mirounga angustirostris (Northern elephant seal)
Lineage: Eukaryota; Metazoa; Chordata; Mammalia; Carnivora; Phocidae
Exons: 4
Source: RefSeq, a predicted model, not a curated record